GCGGGAGUAGCUCAAUUGGCAGAGCACUAGCCUUCCAAGCUGGGGGUUGCGAGUUCGAGCCUCGUCUCCCGCUCCA
Molecule: transfer RNA, 76 nt
Filed under: Bacillota bacterium
Lineage: Bacteria; Bacillati; Bacillota
Description: tRNA-Gly
Rfam family: tRNA
About the family: Transfer RNA (tRNA) molecules are approximately 80 nucleotides in length. Their secondary structure includes four short double-helical elements and three loops (D, anti-codon, and T loops). Further hydrogen bonds mediate the characteristic L-shaped molecular structure. tRNAs have two regions of fundamental functional importance: the anti-codon, which is responsible for specific mRNA codon recognition, and the 3' end, to which the tRNAs corresponding amino acid is attached (by aminoacyl-tRNA synthetases). tRNAs cope with the degeneracy of the genetic code in two manners: having more than one tRNA (with a specific anti-codon) for a particular amino acid; and 'wobble' base-pairing, i.e. permitting non-standard base-pairing at the 3rd anti-codon position.
Source: RNAcentral